This 459-nucleotide ribosomal RNA is filed under the name uncultured bacterium. Its description in RNAcentral is "partial 16S ribosomal RNA". It matches the Rfam family "Bacterial small subunit ribosomal RNA", at positions 338 to 795 of the family's 1533-position model. The record is from RNAcentral.
CCUACGGGUGGCAGCAGUGAGGAAUAUUGGUCAAUGGUCGGGAGACUGAACCAGCCAAGCCGCGUGAGGGAGGAAGGUACAGAGUAUCGUCAACCUCUUUUGUCAGGGAACAAAGACUGGGACGCGUCCCCGGAUGAGUGUACCUGAAGAAAAAGCAUCGGCUAACUCUGUGCCAGCAGCCGCGGUAAUACGGGGGAGUCGAGCGUUAUCCGGAUUUAUGGGGUUUAAAGGGUGCGCAGGCGGUCUUUUAAGUCAGAGGUCAAAGCCCGGGUCUCAAACCCGGCCCGCCGUUGAAACUGGCAGUCUCGAGUUGGAGAGAAGUAUGCGGAAUGCGCGGUGUAGCGGUGAAAUGCAUAGAUAUCGCGCAGAACUCCGAUUGCGAAGGCAGCAUGCCGGCUCCACACUGACGCUGAGGCACGAAAGCGUGGGUAUCGAACAGGAUUAGAUACCCGGGUAGUC